GCUGCAGGCCGAGCUUGGCUGGCGGCCUCCACGCGGAGCGGCCUCCUUCCAACCUCGACUGGGCUGUUAAGGAGUUUAGUGAGGGAUGGAGGUGAAGACUGGGGCGUUGGAGUCGCUAGGUCCGUCGUUCUGUGGAAUCACAUUGAGGCAGGAUAAGGGCCUUGGAGAACAGGAGAGGGGUAUCUCUUGCCAACCUGAAGGGAGACAGCAGGUCUCAAAAACAUCGGUGACUCUCUAUUCCCUGCAAGCUUGACCACAAUGCCGCCUUCUGAGUUGGAAUACCGGUUUCUGUUCCUCACAGUUUCAACCACAGCAGCCCGUCCUUAGCUAUUGUUGCCUGAACCCCUAGCAAGAGUCGACCACAAUCAGACCUCUACUCAGAAUGCUUCCUUUUUCCAAUAUAGAGGUAUCGGAAAAGACCAGACAAGCAAGAACACAGUUCAAGGAUGAAAUGGAUAUAGAAAAUUCGGAUUUUCUGGAGGAGGCAUAGAGGUGUGUUUAAUCAGAGGGAGGACAGCCAGGUGUGGAAAUGAGAAAGCAGCGAGAACACGGGUGCCACAAACCCCUGAGAAAGCUGCUGUUGCUGACUGAAUGGAUGAACCCUGUGACUUCUACUUAAAUAGAUGCCCUCAGAGGCAUCUGAACAAUGAAUCAAGGAGCGCUGGUCACCCAUGGCUGUCUGGGAGUCUUUGCUAGAGAAAGUUUUUCUUGGAGGAACUGUACUGAGUGUCCUUGAUUACUUGAAGGUCUCUGUGCCUAUGGAGGUCCUGUCCUACUCUUCACUCUCAUGCAGACCAGGCUACUGACAUUCCAAGAAAACUCAUCACCUAACUCCCGUCAGCAGUCACAUCUUUGUCUUGUAUGUCAUUUACAUCCCUGUGUCUUUUCCAUAGCUGCCACUGCACCCCCAGCAUGUUCCUUGCUAUGGUGAAACCUGUGUCCCUUCCUCUUGUCUCUCUGGAUCAAUGGUUACUUUCACCCACCUUGGGAGCAGCCUCUGAAGCCACAUUGCUGCAAAGAGAUGAUUAGAGGUUUUCUG
This is a long non-coding RNA of Sciurus carolinensis (gray squirrel), 1039 nucleotides long. RefSeq lists it as uncharacterized. NCBI's taxonomy places the organism in Eukaryota, Metazoa, Chordata, Mammalia, Rodentia, Sciuridae. The transcript has 4 exons. The record is from RefSeq and is a predicted model, not a curated record.